CCCUUAGAUGUUCUGGGCAGCACGCGCGCUACAAUGGUCUUCGCAAACGGAUGCAUUCUCGAAGGAGAAUGCCAAUCUUGGAAUCUAUGCCUUGGUCGGGACAGUUGCUUGCAAUUUUUCGACUCGAACCAGGAAUUCCUUGUAAUCGUGAUUCAUCACAUCACGAUGAAUACGUCCCUGCCCUUUGUACACACCGCCCGUCGCUCCUACCGAUCGAAGAGUUAGGUGAAUUGUUUUGAUCGAUAAGAUCUGACUAUGGUCAACUCUCGUUGUGAAAUUCUGUGAAUCUGACUGUUUAGAGGAAGGAAAAGUCGUAACA
Molecule: ribosomal RNA, 319 nt
Filed under: uncultured eukaryote
Lineage: Eukaryota
Description: partial 18S ribosomal RNA
Rfam family: Eukaryotic small subunit ribosomal RNA
Source: RNAcentral